UUGAAAAAGGUAAAACUGUCGAAAGGCAGUGACACAAAACUACAGGGCCUAAGGAUGUUCUACGGCAGCCAGUUGCCA
RNAcentral lists this non-coding RNA (78 nucleotides) under uncultured Sedimentibacter sp. RNAcentral's name for it is "Cyclic di-GMP-I riboswitch". It matches the Rfam family "c-di-GMP-I riboswitch aptamer". From Rfam's summary of the family: GEMM was predicted in a large-scale screen for bacterial structured RNA regulatory elements. Lineage: Bacteria; Bacillati; Bacillota; Tissierellia. The record is from RNAcentral.